This 425-nucleotide long non-coding RNA is filed under the name Homo sapiens (human). RNAcentral describes it as "HSALNT0226363". The record is from RNAcentral. Lineage: Eukaryota; Metazoa; Chordata; Mammalia; Primates; Hominidae.
GGCAGAUACACCCAGGGACACUCAGCCUUCCUGCACUUCAGACUCCCCUCCCUCUGCUUGCCCCCGCUCCGUGCGGGCUGCCGCCCCUGCUGGUGCCACCAGCACCCAGGAGGCUUUCCUGGGCCCACCUGUGGAUGUGUCCCCCAGCCCCACACCAGGCAGGCCCUGGGAAAGACAGCGGAUGGGGACGGCAGAGGGGGCCCGGUGCACGUCAGCUCCUUCCCAAAGUGCCUGGCCCCUCUCUUGCUGUGAAGGCCUCCAGAGAUAACCAAGGCGUGGACACGCCAGGCACCCAGGUCUCAGCCAGGCACACGGUUCCCGUGUCUCACAGCCGUGGCCACCCUCUGAGCGGCCCAGAGAGGCCAGGGCCGGGGGUGCCUGGUCCCCGCGACGGUGGGGCUGUCAGAGCGUCCGUGAGGCUCGGG